AGAAAUUCGAUUCCGUAAGUAGCGGCGAGCGAACGCGGAUUAGCCCAAACCAAUAAAGUUUUCUUUAUUGGGGUUGCGGACAUAUCAUAACGAAGAGGUAUCGUAAUUGAAGAGGUUUGGAAAGACCCACCACAGAAGGUAAUAGUCCUGUAUGUUAAACGAGAAGACUUCAGAUAUGAUCCAGAGUACCACGGGACACGUGAAACCCUGUGGGAAGCAGGAGGGACCACCCUCCAAGGCUAAAUACUACCUAGUGACCGAUAGCGUAUAGUACCGUGAGGGAAAGGUGAAAAGAACCCCGGGAGGGGAGUGAAAUAGAACCUGAAACCCUGCACUUACAAGCUGUGGAAGCACAUUUCUUGUGUGACCGCGUACUUUUUGUAGAACGGGCCAACGAGUUACGUUAAGUAGCAAGGUUAAGCACUUAAGGUGUGGAGCCGUAGCGAAAGCGAGUUUUAACUGAGCGUUCAGUUACUUGACGUAGACCCGAAACCGGGCGACCUACCCAUGAGCAGGAUGAAGCGAAAGUAAAAUUUCGUGGAGGUCCGAACCCACGAG
Molecule: ribosomal RNA, 558 nt
Filed under: Clostridioides difficile
Lineage: Bacteria; Bacillati; Bacillota; Clostridia; Peptostreptococcales; Peptostreptococcaceae
Description: bacterial LSU rRNA
Rfam family: Bacterial large subunit ribosomal RNA
Source: RNAcentral